CUCAUUUGGAGUAUUAUUAUAGAAAUAGUAGGGCGCUUUGCUAUUUCCUUCUCCAGCUCACACAGUUAAUGAAUUUCUGAGGAGAUAUUUGAACUCAGGAAGACCAAGCUUGGCAUUUCAUCCACUGCACCACCUAGCAACCCCAGGGUUUGAACUUAGAUCUUUUUCAUACCAUUUAUUUCUCAUGUCUCCACUCUGUCUCUGACAACUAUUUUAUGUAUAAAGUGGAGAGUCUGACAACAAAUGCUUAUUGAGGCAGAACUCUGUACUAGAUGCUGCCUGGGGAAACAAAAGAAAAAACAUCUUCUCUGACCUCCUACUUUAUUAUAAGACAUAGAGACAAUGACAAAAGGGAGGGGAAAACCCCAGCAAAAAUCAUCUCACGGGUGUGA
RNAcentral lists this long non-coding RNA (392 nucleotides) under Monodelphis domestica (gray short-tailed opossum). RNAcentral's name for it is "lncRNA (ENSMODG00000036447.1)". Lineage: Eukaryota; Metazoa; Chordata; Mammalia; Didelphimorphia; Didelphidae. The record is from RNAcentral.